UACGUAGGGUGCGAGCGUUAAUCGGAAUUACUGGGCGUAAAGCGUGCGCAGGUGGUCUCGCAAGUCGAGUGUGAAAGCCCCGGGCUUAACCUGGGAAUUGCGCUCGAAACUACGGGACUUGAGUGUGGCAGAGGGAGGUGGAAUUCCACGUGUAGCGGUGAAAUGCGUAGAGAUGUGGAGGAACACCGAUGGCGAAGGCAGCCUCCUGGGCCAACACUGACACUCAGGCACGAAAGCGUGGGGAGCAAACAGG
Molecule: ribosomal RNA, 253 nt
Filed under: uncultured bacterium
Lineage: Bacteria
Description: partial 16S ribosomal RNA
Rfam family: Bacterial small subunit ribosomal RNA
Source: RNAcentral